This 547-nucleotide ribosomal RNA is filed under the name uncultured bacterium. RNAcentral describes it as "bacterial SSU rRNA". It matches the Rfam family "Bacterial small subunit ribosomal RNA", at positions 94 to 628 of the family's 1533-position model. The record is from RNAcentral.
AGCGGCGGACGGGUGAGUAACACGUGGACAAUCUGCCCCCCGGUCCGGGAUAGCCCAGGGAAACCUGGAUUAAUACCGGAUGAGACGGGACCCGCGGAGGCGGGAUCCGGGAAAGGCGCUGCGGCGCCGCCGGGGGAUGAGUCUGCGUCCCAUUAGCUAGACGGCGGGGUAACGGCCCACCGUGGCGACGAUGGGUAGCCGGCCUGAGAGGGUGGACGGCCACAUUGGAACUGAGACACGGUCCAGACUCCUACGGGAGGCAGCAGCUAAGAAUCUUCCGCAAUGGGCGAAAGCCUGACGGAGCGACGCCGCGUGAACGAAGAAGGCCGUGAGGUUGUAAAGUUCUUUUCGGGAGGGGGAACAACCGUGGCAGGGAAUGGCCGCGGGAUGACGUGAAUCCCGGAAUAAGCCCCGGCUAACUACGUGCCAGCAGCCGCGGUAACACGUAGGGGGCGAGCGUUGUUCGGAAUCAUUGGGCGUAAAGGGCGUGCAGGCGGUCCUGCAAGUCCGGCGUGAAAGACCCCGGCCCAACCGGGGGGACGCGCUG